Molecule: non-coding RNA, 148 nt
Filed under: Pan paniscus (pygmy chimpanzee)
Lineage: Eukaryota; Metazoa; Chordata; Mammalia; Primates; Hominidae
Also listed under: 1 other name
Source: Rfam by way of RNAcentral
UCCAGGCAUGGCCAUGCAUGCCUGUAGUCCCAGCUACCCAGGAGGAAGAGGAGGGAGGAUUGCUUGAGCCUAGGAGUUUGGGGCUGUAGAGAGCUAUGAUGAUGCCACUGCACUCCAGCCUGGGCAACAAAGCAAGACCCUACCUCUA